Molecule: ribosomal RNA, 463 nt
Filed under: uncultured bacterium
Lineage: Bacteria
Description: partial 16S ribosomal RNA
Source: RNAcentral
GACUACAGGGGUAUCUAAUCCUGUUUGCUCCCCACGCUUUCGCGUCUCAGCGUCAGAAUCGGCCCAGUGCCCCGCUUUCGCUUCUGGCGUUCCUCUAGAUAUCUACGCAUUUCACCGCUCCACCUAGAGUUCCAGGCACCUCUACCGACCUCAAGCUAGGUAGUUUGCCGUGCAGUUCCAUGGUUGAGCCAUGGGAUUUCACACGACACUUACCAAGCCGCCUACACGCGCUUUAAGCCCAGUGAUUCCGAACAACGCUUGCCUCCUCUGUCUUACCGCGACUGCUGGCACAGAGUUAGUCGAGGCUUCCUCUGGGGCGACUCAACGCCAGGACGUAUUAGGUCCCUUUGCUUGUUGACCCCUGACAGCAGUUUACAUCCCGAAGGACUUCCUCCUGCACGCGGCAUUGCUGGGUCAGGCUUGCGCCCAUUGCCCAAUAUUCGUUACUGCAGCCCCCCGUAGG